Molecule: long non-coding RNA, 2226 nt
Filed under: Olea europaea (common olive)
Lineage: Eukaryota; Viridiplantae; Streptophyta; Magnoliopsida; Lamiales; Oleaceae
Description: long non-coding RNA (OEUR_LNC007008)
Source: RNAcentral
AUCAGUGAGUUGACUGAAAAAUUAAUUUUCUUCUACAGCAAUUGUGCCCAGACAAGCGCAUUACUACUUGCUUACUGAAUAACAAAAUAUAAAUCAUUACUCACCCAUUUAUCCAAAUACUUUCAUCACCCCGUCUUAUUUCCAUCACCUUUAACUAACAGAAUGAUGGAUGAAAAUUCCACGUGGCACAUAAAUUAGACACACACACACAUAAAUCGGAUGGAAAUCUAGCCAAAAUCCUGCCUUCGUCUCCAAAAACCCAGUGGAACGUGAGCCUAAAUUUUCAAUGUCGUGAGCCGAAAGAUCUACUUCCGCCUAAAGCCAAACAUAUUCUUGACUAACAGCCCCAGUGUUACCAUCAUCCACCGUCACCAUCGUCGAAUCGCGGGAACAUCCAAAAUUUCACUGCACCCAACUCGACAUCCGCAUCUCUGUCUUCAUAUCCCAGUGGCAAGAAGCAUUUCCAAACAAGGUUCACAUAAGACCAAAAUCGUUCCCAAAUCUUUGAAGAACCCUAAAAAUCGCCAGCCAAUUCGCUCCCAAAUCCACUAUGUUAAUUAAUGGGCAUGCACAUCACGGACUAGACUCUGCUGCACCAAUUAAGUCGACCAUGUAUUCAGAGUUUGAGAAGUGGAGGGACAAGAUGAAGGUCCGAGAAAGUGGAGAGUUGCUUUUAGACCAUUUAACAUGAUUUCACAUGUGUGAUAUACAACGUGGCACUUUUGGCUAGUUUAAAGUGAUGAAUAAUGAGCAGGUAAGUAAUUAGAUAGAUAGAUGAGUAAUGAGUUCUAUUUUAUUGUUCGAUAAACAAGUAGUAACGUAAAUUAAAGUUGGGUAAGCAUUAAUUGAAUUUACUCUAGGAAGGGUGAGCUGGAUUUUGAGGGAAAGGGGGGGUUUUGUGAAUUAAAUAAAGGGAUGGAGUGGGGUGGGUUCUAUGUUGGGGGAAAGACAAUUCAACCCAAUCAAUUAGAAAGUGUGCCAUCUCUAAAGUCACAAGGCAAACUUUUCUCUCGUCCAUUGAAAGUAAGGAUGGCAACAGAACAGGUCGUGGGUAGAUCAGCCAUUCAUGUCUCCCAUCUUGUCAAAUGUUUUUAUUACCUUGCCUCCAUCCCAUAUCCUAUUAGAGCAAGAUGAAGCAGAACCCUGCUCUGUUACCAUCAUGUUUAUUUAUUUUUAUUUGUUUUAUUUAUUUAUUUUUUUGUUUCUUUUAUGUCCUUAGUUUGUGAAAGUAUUCCUUUUUUUUUUUUUUCCAAUCUUUUAUGAACAACCUAUGUUACCUUUAGAAAAGAUGAUAAUUCUUUUCCUUUUUUUUUUAAAUAAAAAACUUAAAUUUAAAAUAAAUUUUAAAUGGGAUGGGUAGCGAAGCAAGGACCAUAUUUUUUGUACCCGUCCAAUACCUGCUUCAGAAAACAACCAUGUCUCACCUUGCCCCCGUCUCUGUCCAUUUACUUGAUUAGGCGGGUAAUCCCUAUCCUGUUUGGUUGCGGGUGUCAGAUUUAACGAGUUUUUUUAGCCAUUCCUAAUAUAAAUGAUAUGUCAAAUUCAAUAAUACAUUCCAGAAUAAAUCAAAGAUACCUAGAAUAUAUUCUAAGAUAAUUGAAGCAACUAUGACACAUUAUUAUGGCUUACAUAACAUUUACAGGAAUUUAAAAUAAAAUGAUGUGGGAGAGGAACAAAAUACAUAAAUAAAUGGAAAAGGAAAAUGACCUAAUAAAAUCAUGAAUUUCUAAUUUCAUUUACGAUUUCUCCCAAAAUAUAGAUAGAGAAACCCCGCCACUCAACUUUCUCCAUCUCCGGCCAACAUUCGGCUAAUUGACCAGCGCGCACCUCUAGCCACAGUGUAAAUACGAAAGCCCACCGAAACCUGAUGUCAAACUCAUAUUUGAAGACAACUACGCCAAACCCAGAUGACAUCUCUUUAGCUUUUGGAGACUUGAAGAAAAUAUGGACUCCUAGAGCAACGCCAGUAGCACCAAGAACAUUCAAAUUUAAGCCUUGCUUUGUUGGUUAAAGGGUGUUAAAUUAUAGGCAGGCUUUGAAGGAUGCUAAAUUAUAUGUAGCGACAUAUGGCUGUUCUUUAUGUAAUUUUGUAUCGAGGUACAGGAAAAUUCAGCACUGAUAUGGACCUUGUAUUCAUGCUUUUAUUAUUAUAAAUUGUAAUUAUACCUUGAGUGAUGUCCAAAUGCUAUAUUUCCCUGAUUGGUGUUUGAUCAAGACAGAAUCUUG